CAGAAACCAAUGAAAGAAGCUGCAGUCUCAAAAAUUCGCUCAUUUGAUUCGUUCAAACACAAUGAUUCAAUUUGGAACGAACGAAACAAGCGACCUCUAAUGAGUGAGUGUUUGAUUCAUUCACUCAUCCGGUUCCUUCAAAACACUGAUUCAUUUAGGAAGGAAACAGCUACUGACUCAAACUGUGGAUUUGUUUGGAUGUAUUUCCUUUGGCACAGAGAAAACAAAGUACCUGCAAAUAUGACAUCUAAAAUGAGCGGUGCUUUCAUAACCCCCUAAUCCCCCCAAAAAUAAAAGAUGCCAGGGGGCAAAGAUUGUGGAGGGUCCCGGUAUUCUGCUAAUGGAAGUGAUUGACAUCUGGCUAUCUGUUGUGGAAAUCUCGCAGCCUCUUUGCCCAAACCACAUCUCUUUUUCUGUUUACUGGACGAACAGCAAGACACAGACAGACGGGUGGCAUGAGUCAGAGUCAUAUGCUGUUAUUUACUCUGUGGAAGGAAAGGAAGAAAGGAAUGAGGUUGACGACAUAUGGGCCAAUCUGUGGAGAGGAGAAAGCGGGAUGGAGGAAGAGAUUGUGCAGGAGUAGGAGUGGAAGGUGCUGAUGCUGGGUUGAAUAAGUCUUGAUAUUAUUGGAUGAAUGGAUGAUUUUAUGCCUGUUAAUAUAUGCUACCUUUUGUGCUUUAGAAUUCGACCCUUAAAGCUGCAGUGUGUUUUUUUCUACUACACCCAAAUUCUAAAAAAUAGUUUUCAAACAGGUUUCCCCAAACACACCUGUAUGCCAUUGUUCAGAC
Molecule: long non-coding RNA, 788 nt
Organism: Cyprinus carpio (common carp)
Lineage: Eukaryota; Metazoa; Chordata; Actinopteri; Cypriniformes; Cyprinidae
Source: Ensembl